This 30-nucleotide small RNA is filed under the name Bombyx mori (domestic silkworm). RNAcentral describes it as "ovarian small RNA-37974". The record is from RNAcentral. Lineage: Eukaryota; Metazoa; Arthropoda; Insecta; Lepidoptera; Bombycidae.
UUGCUUUGGUGAGUGCCCAAGUUUGGCAGC